GAAUUGUUGGGAAAGUCCUGUGAAAAUGGUUUAGCGCAAAAAGAAUUUCAGCUGAAAGAGGAACAAGGAAGCAAUGGGGUAACCCUUUCCAUUUCCACUUAUCGAUUGGUUGCAUUGGAAUUGGCUGACCUAAAGAGUGCAGAAAUGGAAUCUCCUCAAAUAUUUGAUUCUGUUGGUUCUUGCUUCAAUCCUCUUUUUGGAGUAUCAUUGCAAUUGUGUUGUAGUUGUUCAGCUGUUUCGAUCCUUUAUCAGAAAAUUUUAGUUAUGGC
Molecule: unclassified non-coding RNA, 269 nt
Filed under: Hevea brasiliensis (rubber tree)
Lineage: Eukaryota; Viridiplantae; Streptophyta; Magnoliopsida; Malpighiales; Euphorbiaceae
Source: RNAcentral